This 206-nucleotide long non-coding RNA is filed under the name Homo sapiens (human). RNAcentral's name for it is "HSALNT0020944". Lineage: Eukaryota; Metazoa; Chordata; Mammalia; Primates; Hominidae. The record is from RNAcentral.
GCAGAUUGAUGAAAUCUAUUCUCUUUUCCAAGCCUGCUUGAGCCCCAGACUGUAGCCUGGUGGGCCACGUGAGAACAGUGCCCGCAACCACAGCCGAGAGAGGUGUUAUUUACAUAUUUAUUAGAAAUUCUGUCCUGCUGGCAAGAGACGCUCACUUCUGACUUUAAUUCCGAUAAGUAAACAACCCCAUUGGCAAGAAAGAGGGG